This is a long non-coding RNA of Cyprinus carpio (common carp), 4016 nucleotides long. Lineage: Eukaryota; Metazoa; Chordata; Actinopteri; Cypriniformes; Cyprinidae. The record is from Ensembl.
CUCAACUGGUAGGCCUAUAACAUUUCACCAACAAUGCCAAGGCUGCAGGUUUAAUUUACAGGGUUAAUAAAUACCUAUCUAUCUAUCUAUCUAUCUAUCUAUCUAUCUAUCUAUGGUUCGAAAAGGUAGAAAUAUAACAUAAUUUUAUAUGAGCCUUUAUUAUUUAACUGAGUGUUUUUAUUUAUUUUUAUUUUAUUAUUUUUUGUUAUUUUUUUUUACAACGGUACUGUAACUGGUCAGUAGGAAGACACUAGAUGCCGCUCUGUUCUUGUAGAUACAACGACAGGCGAGCGAAGAAGUCUUGGGGUCCUGUUUCAUGUGUUUCUGGGAUACUGGCGGACUGACUGUGCCCUGAAUGUCAUGGCGACCAACAGCGGGCAACUUUCCCGAGGAUUCGUAACUUACACAAAUCAAGAAAUCCACAACACUGACUGAAAACACAGGGUCAACACAUUUUGUCCAAUUUACAGAGCAAAGACUACAGAAAUCAUCACCAAAACCAAAAAUUGGGAUUCAGUUUUUGAAAUGGAGUGUGCAGUAAACACUGGGCCUGAUGAUGAGCCAUCUGAUACUGCUGUUCCAUAUGAGGUCAUUACUGUAACGGAUGGAAGUGAGACCCCAAAAAAGAAAAACAAGAAACAUAAGAAACACAAAAGUAAAAAGAAACGUAAGAAGCGUAAAGGUGAAAAGGAGAGUAGCUCUGAAUCUGGAGUAGACUCAGAUGGCAAUUCCCAAACAAGAACAAGUGUGAAAAAAGAUGGCUCAUCUAACCCUGAGGCUGAUGAUAAUGCGAAUGCCACAAAAAACUGUACAGAAGACCUCAGUGAUGUGGAAGCUGAUGCCAAGGUUAAAAAGCAGAAACAUCGUGUUGGGAAAAAAAAGAAAAAAAGAAGACGGAAAGAGGAGGAAAAGCAGGGAAAAAAGUCCUCAUCUCGCUCAAGAUCGGCGAGUACCUCAGUGUCAGGGUCAGAAUCUGAACCAGACUCCAAACAAUCACAAAAAUUGCAGGUAGCAUCUUUAAAGGUGGACAGAAAGUCACCUAUCAAUGCAGCUAAAAUUCCAAAAGACAAAUUAAAAGAGAGCACACCUCAGUUGGAAGAUAAAAAGAGAGAAAUUACUUCUGAUCACGCUGAAGAAGAAGAAAGUUUAAAAUUAGGAGGGAUAAGACAGAUGUCUCCUGAGACUGCACAUGCAAUAAUCGCAGAGAAGGACAUAAAGGUGGAAAUUGUAGGCGAACAUGAAAAUUUUGGUAAAGCUCAAGAACUUCCUGAUAUUAUCCCUAAGCAAGAGAAUGUCCACAAAGAGCAAGCUGUGCAGAAGGACAUUUCAAAGGAAUCAAAUGGGAAUCAGAAAGAAAAGAAAAAACAGUCCCUCUCCAGGUCAAGGUCACGAUCGCUUUCAGACACUAAAGGGAAAAAAUCCAAACACAGUUGCUCUAAAACUCCAAAGAAGUCAUCUGGUAAAUCAGGACGUCAUAAUGACAGAUCAUCUUCAAGGGAUAGGUCUGUGUCUGCCUCUGGUGGGAAGGAUAGAACAAAACGAAGAAGUUCUAGGUCUCCAUCAAGACGGUCACCAUCCAAAAUAACAAAGAAAACUGGACGGAGGUCAAGGUCAAUCUCUGGAAGAAGAGCAUAUUGCUCUGACUCAAGGUCCCAUACCAGGACCAAAAGAUCCAGGACCAGGUCUCCACGACGUGGUCAUCGUUCAAGAUCUAGGUCAACUGGAAGACCAAGACGUUCACGGUCAAGAUCAAAACAGUCUAUUUCUCGGCGGAAAAAUCGGCGCUCAAGAUCACAGUCCAGAUCUGUAAGGAGAGGAAGACACUCAAGGUCCCGCUCUAGAAAGAAAACACCUCCUCGAGUGAGGCGGUCCAGGUCUAGAUCUGACAGAAGAGCAAGACGAACACGCUCAAGAUCCAUUGUGAUCCUUAAGCGUUCUAGAUCCCGCUUGAGAAGAAACAGAAGAUCUAGAUCAAGAUCUGCUCGCAGAAGAUCAGGUUCAAGAAGCCCAAGACGUCAAAGUAAGUCUCGGUCCCCUCAACGCCCCAGGCCCUCUGAGUCACGUUCUCCUGCAGCCCGUCAAAGGAGGUCAAAAUCUAGGAGCCCUCAUAGCACAAAGUCAGAGUCAGCAUCUCCUCAACGACAUAAAAGAUCAAAGUCACGAACAUCCUCACAUAAUUCAAAGUCUGAAUCCCCAAUAUUAAGAAGAACUAAAAAGCAAAAAGGUAAACGGUCAAGAUCAGUUUCUCAGAGACGCACAUCAAGAUCAAGAUCCAUUUCCAGGGAGCGCCAGUCAACAGAUAGAAGUAUAUCCCCUACCAAAAGAGCACACUCUAAAUCUCCAACUAAAGAGGAAAAGUCCUCAAAGGAUAAGAGUUCAAAAGAAAUCUCAGAGACUAAACAGCAAGUUUUAGAUCCUGUGGAGGAAAAUUUAGAAAUAAAAGGGUCAAGUGGAUGGAAACCAGUGUCUACUGAAUGUACAUCUGUGCAAAAUCCAUCAGAUGAAGAGGUAAAAUCAUCAGAAUGUGAUACACAAAGUAAAAACAUUGAGCAAGAGCCCGAAAAAUCCUCUGAAUAUGAAGAAAGACCAAACCGAUCCAGAUCUCUGUCCUCAGAGCCAGUUCCUCAACAAGUUACUGUAGGGUCAGAUGAAGAUGAUCGCUCAGGGAGCUCACGAUCACCUUCACCGAGUAAAGUAAAAGAAUCAAAGUCCUCCAACAGAACAUCACCUGUUCAAAGAAAGCACUCCAGAUCGGCUUCCCCCACUCAGAAAAGGCGAUCCAAGUCGAAAUCUGUCAAUAGCAAGAGGAGGUCAAGAUCUCCUGUGAGAAAACGCAAGUCCAGGUCUCCCUCACAUAGUCGUAAAAAGAGGACAAAAUCUCGGUCUCCUGUUCGGAAAAGAAGAUCUAGAUCAUCCAAUCGAAGGGCAAAAUCACGAUCGAAAUCUCACACAAGAACAAAGCGCUCAAAAUCAAAAUCCCCCAAGCGGAAACGGUCAAAGUCUAGAUCGCCAGCUCGAAAAAGGAGGUCCAAAUCGCGUUCCCCUGCUAGAAAGAGAAGAUCUCGUUCACGGUCAAGGGCUCGUCAGUCACGAUCCAGAAGAUCACGCUCUGUUUCACGUCGGAGAAGACCAGCAUUUCGUGGACGAUCUUUUGAUAGACGAGAUCGAUGGAAACGUGAACCAAGCCAUUCACCAAUUUUAAUUCUUCGUAAGAGGAGGUCCACCUCAAGAUCUCGACGCAGUUCUAGCAAGACGCCACCACGUCUUACUGACCUAGAUAAAGAUCAACUUUUGGAGAUUGCGAAGGCUAAUGCUGCUGCAAUGUGCGCUAAAGCCGGAAUGCCCAUACCUGAAAGUCUCAAGCCUAAGGCAAUUCUGCAGUUACCUCUGCCAACCCCAGCUCCAGCCCCCUUGUCUUUGCCUCUGCCACUUCCUGUGCCCAAUUUACCUAUGAAUCUGCCCAUGGGUUUACCAGGUAUGCCUGCAAUGCCAAACAUGACAAUGAACGCUGCCAUGGCAAGUAUGACUGCGGCGACAAUGACUGCUGCUCUCUCCAACAUGGGUGCUCUGGCAUCUAUGCCCCCGAUGCCCCCACUUCCUACCAUUACCAACAAGCCCCCUUCAGCACCCACACCUAAUCUGGCUAGUAUUGAGGAGGUGAAGAGGAAAGUGGCUCAACAAGCUAACAGCNAAAUUCUAAAGAAAUUAGUACUUUGUUUAACAGAUAAUUUAAUUUGAUCAAAAGUGACAGUAAAGACUUUUACAGUUUUGGAAAAGAUAUAAAUAUAAAAACAAAGCAUGCUUCUUGAGCACGAAAUCAGCAUAUUCGAAUCACUUCUGAAGGUUCAUGUGACACUGAAAACUGGAGUAAUGGCUGCUGAAAAUUCAUCUUGACCACCACAGGAAUUAAUUAUAUUUUAAAAUAUAUUCAAAAAGAAAAAAUUAUUUAAAAUUUUUUUCACAAUAUGACUUUUUCAUGGUAACUUUGAUUAAAUAAAUGCAGCCUUGGGGGGGCA